UUUUGGACAAGCAUUAAGGGCAUAUGGUGGAUGCCUAGGUAGAAGUAGGCGAUGAAGGACGUGGCUGGCUGCGAUAAGCCUCGGGAAGCCGUCAAGCUGGCGUAGAUCCGGGGAUUUCCGAAUGGGGUAACCCAGGUCCGGUAAACCGGGCCUAUCCCGAAAGGGAGGCAAACCCAGGGAAUUGAAACAUCUUAGUACCUGGAGGAAGAGAAAAUCCGUAAGGAUGAUUUCCUCAGUAGCGGCGAGCGAAAGGGAAAGAGCCUAAACCGACCUGUGUGUUAAAGCCCGUUCGCGUUGCACAGGCGGGGUUGUAGGACUCGUCCGUAGUCUAGUUCGGAUGGAUUGGAAGAGUUACAAAAUCGAAUUCUAGCUGAAUAAUCCUGGAAAGAUUAACCACAGAAGGUGAUAGUCCUGUAAGCGAAAGAGUUCGAUCUCUUCUGGGCGAGUUCCUAAGUACCACGGGACACGUUAACCUUGUGGGAAUCUAUGUUGUCCACGACAUAAGGCUAAAUACUCUCUGGUGACCGAUAGUGCACUAGUACCGUGAGGGAAAGGUGAAAAGAACCCCGGGAGGGGAGUGAAAUAGAAC
RNAcentral lists this ribosomal RNA (589 nucleotides) under Candidatus Stahliibacteriota bacterium. Its description in RNAcentral is "bacterium (Candidatus Stahlbacteria) partial 23S ribosomal RNA". It matches the Rfam family "Bacterial large subunit ribosomal RNA", at positions 1 to 549 of the family's 2925-position model. Lineage: Bacteria; Candidatus Stahliibacteriota. The record is from RNAcentral.